GGGUGACGAGUGGCGGACGGGUGAGUAAUGUCUGGGAAACUGCCCGAUGGAGGGGGAUAACUACUGGAAACGGUAGCUAAUACCGCAUAACGUCGCAAGACCAAAGAGGGGGACCUUCGGGCCUCUUGCCAUCGGAUGUGCCCAGAUGGGAUUAGCUAGUAGGUGGGGUAACGGCUCACCUAGGCGACGAUCCCUAGCUGGUCUGAGAGGAUGACCAGCCACACUGGAACUGAGACACGGUCCAGACUCCUACGGGAGGCAGCAGUGGGGAAUAUUGCACAAUGGGCGCAAGCCUGAUGCAGCCAUGCCGCGUGUAUGA
Molecule: ribosomal RNA, 319 nt
Filed under: Citrobacter sp. Cf081
Lineage: Bacteria; Pseudomonadati; Pseudomonadota; Gammaproteobacteria; Enterobacterales; Enterobacteriaceae
Description: bacterial SSU rRNA
Rfam family: Bacterial small subunit ribosomal RNA
Source: RNAcentral